GCCUGCCCAGUGAAUAAUUAAACGGCCGCGGUAUCCUAACCGUGCAAAGGUAGCAUAAUCAUUUGUCUACUAAUUAUAGACCUGUAUGAAAGACAAAAUGAGGGUCUAACUGUCUCUUAUAAUUAAUCAAUUAAACUGAUCUCCUAGUAAAAAAGCUAGAAUUCCCACAUAAGACCAGAAGACCCUGUGAAGCUUGAACUAAACUAUUAAAUCAUAUAAUAACUACUUUCGGUUGGGGCGACCUUGGAAAAAAAAAGAACUUCCAAAUAUAGUGAUAAUACCUCACACCUCUUUAACCUAGGCCAACAAGCCAAAAUCAGAUCCAGCAUAGCUGAUAAUUGAACUAAGUUACUCCAGGGAUAACAGCGCAAUCUUCUUCAAGAGCCCAUAUCAAAAAGAAGGUUUACGACCUCGAUGUUGGAUCAGGACAUCCUAAUGGUGCAGCCGCUAUUAAGGGUUCGUUUGUUCAACGAUUAAUAGUCCUACGUGAUCUGAG
RNAcentral lists this ribosomal RNA (496 nucleotides) under Coelognathus radiatus. RNAcentral describes it as "partial large subunit ribosomal RNA". It matches the Rfam family "Bacterial large subunit ribosomal RNA", at positions 1857 to 2609 of the family's 2925-position model. The record is from RNAcentral. Lineage: Eukaryota; Metazoa; Chordata; Lepidosauria; Squamata; Colubridae.